Molecule: ribosomal RNA, 433 nt
Filed under: uncultured bacterium
Lineage: Bacteria
Description: partial 16S ribosomal RNA
Rfam family: Bacterial small subunit ribosomal RNA
Source: RNAcentral
AACGAACGCUGGCGGCAUGCCUAACACAUGCAAGUCGAACGAGACCUUCGGGUCUAGUGGCGCACGGGUGCGUAACGCGUGGGAACCUGCCCUUAUGUUCGGAAUAACUCCCCGAAAGGGGUGCUAAUACCGGAUAAUAUCUUCGGACCAAAGAUUUAUCGCCUUUGGAUGGGCCCGCGUUGGAUUAGCUAGUUGGUAGGGUAAAAGCAUACCAAGGCGACGAUCCAUAGCUGGUCUGAGAGGAUGAUCAGCCACACUGGGACUGAGACACGGCCCAGACUCCUACGGGAGGGAGCAGUGGGGAAUAUUGGAAAAGGGGCGAAAGCCUGAUCCAGCAAUGCCGCGUGAGUGAUGAAGGCAUUAGGGUUGUAAAGCUCUUUUACCCGGGAUGAUCAUGACAGUACCGGGAGAAUAAGCCCCGGCUAACUCCGUG